This is a long non-coding RNA of Triticum dicoccoides, 584 nucleotides long. RefSeq lists it as uncharacterized. The record is from RefSeq and is a predicted model, not a curated record. NCBI's taxonomy places the organism in Eukaryota, Viridiplantae, Streptophyta, Magnoliopsida, Poales, Poaceae. The transcript is spliced from 4 exons.
CUACGCCCCAACGGGAGACGGGAGACCUGCCUCUUCUCUCUCAUGCGUGACCAAGGUCUGGAGGAGCCGCACCCAGGACAGCACACCGGCGGCAGUGCCCAGAUUGACUUGUGAUGUUGAGAAGAUCACCAUGUCGAAGGAUGGACCAUUAGAGAAGAGUGUUCUCGCCAAAGUAAGGUUGAGUUGAGCAUGGCAUGAUGGUCAUAGUUUCUGCAAGACGUAUCUUCAAUGCUCACAGGUUGUUAUCCUAGGCCUAUUCCGUGUAGCAAAACAUGCUGGAUUUGGACCUUUGAAACUUAACUAUGUAACAACACCAUGCUCGGAUUUGAAGAAAUCAUGUUGUGCACGCGUGUCAGCUAAGGACGCAACCCCAUUGGUUCAUCAAAUUAACUGUAGAGGACCUUACAAGUGUAUUAAUAUGUUGUACCAUAACUAUACAAAUCCUUUAUACCACUCUGCUCUGCCUUUGAUAACUUGGAUCUAUGUGUUUUUGUUGAACUUGAGGCAAUUAAGCUUUCUUUAGGCAAGUACUGUGUUACUUUUGAUACAAAUUGAAUCUCCAUGCUUUGUAUUGAACUUGACAU